GGAAAACACAUAUUUCAUAAUCAAAAAUAAGUUUAGAUGUCUAAAACAUUCAUUUAAAGUGAAACUAUACCUAUUUGAAUAUAAUAAAAAUAUUCAAUAAAUUUUUUUUUUUAUAAAUCAAUAUUUAUAAAGUUACCGGUAAAUAAUUUUUGUAGCGUAAAAGCUAAAUAAAUUCAUACAUACUGUAAUACAAAUAACCAAAGCAUAAGAUUUAAUUUACAAUGACACGUGAGCCCACGAACGACCAAAAGUAUCAAAAGCGGUAAACCUACAGUUUUUGAGGAUGCAAGUCCAACUGUAGCCCUCAAUGAAAUGAGCUAUCUACCGACUAUCCUGAGCCUGAAAGGGGUGGAAAUGAGGGUGGUGAGAUUAUAUAAUCCCAAUGAGUAAACAAAUACCAUCUAAAAUAUCUAAAGUUGAGUAAAUGGAGACAGAUAAAAUAAAUUAGCAUAAAAAUGAUUCACAGCAUUUCGAACUCAUUUUAAUAAGAUAAAAUAGAUUCAUUUCACCUAAAUAAACAACAAGGCUUAUGAUUUCCUGAAAAGUUUGGCUCGUGCCAAAAUCAUUGUUAUACUCAAUUAUCAGAGAUACCUUGGCCGAGGGCUAUCCCAACCAAGUCCUCCAAGGCUGUUAAAAGAAAUCAUGUACGCAUAAAUCAUGUUUUUAUUUUGAAAACAUAGUUGUUCCUUGGCGUUGGCUGAGUUCACCAUCACGUGGUGGUUUGGCAUGAAGUGAACUCUAAAGUUUUAACCUUAGGAGUUAUCCAACCGCGCCUCUCAUACUGAGGUAUGAAUAUAAUAGGGUUACUAUGCCUCUCUAAUAGGUUGGUCCAUGGAACCCGUCCACUGCAGCGACCAAUUUAUAACCCACCAAUUCAAUAAAAUUCAACAGCAUGACAUGACAAUUAUUUUAUUUUACAGCCUCUCAAGGUAAAUCAAUAGCUCAUACUUUUUCAGCACAUUUACCAAAUCAACCAUUCAUGUCAAUAUUAUCAUAAGCCAUUGAAUUCAAACCAUGAUUUAUAACACAACAAUUAGUCUCCAAUUACUCCAUUUUCAAAACCAUUUUUCAAUUUCAAGACAAUUUUAUAAAAUCAUUUCAUUUAAUCACAUUUUGCUUAUAAAACAUAAAUAUUUGCCAUUUAAACUCAUUUUCUAUCAAAUCACAAAAACGAUUAAAAACUACUUUAGAUAAUUAAGACGAUAAUAAGGUUACUCACUGUAAUGGAAAUCGAGUUCCGAGUACUCCGAUUCUUGAUCCUCGGGUACUAUCUCUUUACUUUUGCUAGAAUGCUCACCACCUAGACAUAAUGCACAAUAAGCCAUUUACUACAUUUGUGUUAAAUUGUUAUAAAACCAAUUCAGGCUUUAUACUAAUGCAUGAAAUGGGAUGUAAAUUGUUCGGAUUAUCGUCUAAACACGGUGUUCUACACAAAUUCAAUUGUGUACCUAAAUAAAACGGUAUUGGUCUAAUUCGAUCUAUCACUCGAUUAAUUGGCCAAUACGUCCAAUUCAACUCCAAAUAAUUCCAUUUUUCUCCCAAUACUCCAAAUCAUCAAACACAAAUUAAAUAACUUGAAAUAUGGCAAAAUCAUCCUCACAUUUCUUCUUGAGAAUUUUGACCAUGGUGAGUGCAUCAACACUAUGAUUUUUCAUACUUGAUUUUUUCACCAUAAUUCAUCAUUUCCUAACCAAUUCACUUGAAAUAAAAUUAAAUCCACCAUCAACACUCUACAAGGAAGAUUCGGCCAAUGAUGGGUGAUGGGAGAAAAUGAAUUUUUCUUGUUGGCUUUUCAUGCUACACAUCACUAACUAACUAAAAACACUAAAAUACAUUGAAAUAUAACAAAAUCAAGCAUCAAAACCUCCCUCUAAGUGUUCAGCCAGCAAGGGAUUCAUCAUGAUUUCAUAUGAUUCAACCAUGAAAAAUAAAAAAAAAAUGCUUAAGAAAGAGAGAUCUCAAGCUUAAUUGAAAAAGCUUACCUUUUUUUCACUUGUUUCCUUGAAUUUUCACACUUUUCCCUUGAAUUUUUCCACCUAAGGUUUUGUUCUUCCUUUUCUUCCUUUGUGAUUGCUUUGGCCGGCCAUAUGAAGAGAGAUGGGCUGAUUUUGUGCUGAUUUUUAAGCCAAAUAAUAAAUGGAUGAAAAUUUGACACAUGUCAC
RNAcentral lists this long non-coding RNA (2162 nucleotides) under Theobroma cacao (cacao). Its description in RNAcentral is "long non-coding RNA (TCAC_LNC001845)". The record is from RNAcentral. Lineage: Eukaryota; Viridiplantae; Streptophyta; Magnoliopsida; Malvales; Malvaceae.